This 458-nucleotide ribosomal RNA is filed under the name uncultured bacterium. Its description in RNAcentral is "partial 16S ribosomal RNA". It matches the Rfam family "Bacterial small subunit ribosomal RNA", at positions 338 to 795 of the family's 1533-position model. The record is from RNAcentral.
CCUACGGGAGGCAGCAGUAGGGAAUAUUGGUCAAUGGGCGAGAGCCUGAACCAGCCAAGUCGCGUGAGGGAGUACUGCCCUAUGGGUUGUAAACCUCUUUUGUCGGGGAGCAAAAGCCGGACGUGUCCGGCUGUGAGAGUACCCGAAGAAAAAGCAUCGGCGAACUCCGUGCCAGCAGCCGCGGUAAUACGGAGGAUGCGAGCGUUAGCCGGAUUUAUUGGGGUUAAAGGGUGCGCAGGCGGAUUUUUAAGUCAGCGGUCAAAUCGUGGGGCUCAACCCCAUCCAGCCGUUGAACCUGGGGAUCUAGAGUGUGCGAGAGGUAUGCGGAAUGCGUGGUGUAGCGGUGAAAUGCAUAGAUAUCACGCAGAACCCCGAUUGCGAAGGCAGCAUACCGGUGCACAACUGACGCUCAGGCACGAAAGCGUGGGUAUCGAACAGGAUUAGAUACCCUGGUAGUC